GGAUUAGAUACCCGGGUAGUCCACGCCGUAAACGAUGUCGACUUGGAGGCUGUGAGCUUGACUCGUGGCUUCCGGAGCUAACGCGUUAAGUCGACCGCCUGGGGAGUACGGCCGCAAGGUUAAAACUCAAAUGAAUUGACGGGGGCCCGCACAAGCGGUGGAGCAUGUGGUUUAAUUCGAUGCAACGCGAAGAACCUUACCUGGUCUUGACAUCCACGGAAGCCUGCAGAGAUGCGGGUGUGCCUUCGGGAGCCGUGAGACAGGUGCUGCAUGGCUGUCGUCAGCUCGUGUUGUGAAAUGUUGGGUUAAGUCCCGCAACGAGCGCAACCCUUAUCCUUUGUUGCCAGCGGGUGAUGCCGGGAACUCAAAGGAGACUGCCGGUGAUAAACCGGAG
Molecule: ribosomal RNA, 394 nt
Filed under: uncultured bacterium
Lineage: Bacteria
Description: bacterial SSU rRNA
Rfam family: Bacterial small subunit ribosomal RNA
Source: RNAcentral